This 400-nucleotide ribosomal RNA is filed under the name uncultured bacterium. RNAcentral describes it as "bacterial SSU rRNA". It matches the Rfam family "Bacterial small subunit ribosomal RNA", at positions 355 to 770 of the family's 1533-position model. The record is from RNAcentral.
UCGAGAAUAUUCGACAAUGGGCGAAAGCCUGAUCGAGCGACGCCGCGUGCAGGAUGAAGUGCUUCGGUAUGUAAACUGCUUUUGUGAACCAGAAAGUUUAUUGAUCGGUUCAAGAAUAAGAGGUUGCUAAACUCGUGCCAGCAGCAGCGGUAAUACGAGUGCCUCGAGCGUUAUCCGGAAUCAUUGGGCGUAAAGGGUGUGCAGGCGGUCUUGUUAGUCUUCUGUUAAAUUUCUCGGCUUAACCGGGAACCUGCAGGGGAAACGGCAAGACUUGAGGAUGCGAGAGGUUAACGGAACUCAUAGUGUAGCGGUGAAAUGCGUUGAUAUUAUGGGGAACACCAAAUGCGAAGGCAGUUAACUGGAGCACUCCUGACGCUGAAACACGAAAGCGUGGGUAGCG